RNAcentral lists this ribosomal RNA (499 nucleotides) under uncultured bacterium. Its description in RNAcentral is "partial 16S ribosomal RNA". It matches the Rfam family "Bacterial small subunit ribosomal RNA", at positions 30 to 523 of the family's 1533-position model. The record is from RNAcentral.
AUUGAACGCUGGCGGCAGGCCUAACACAUGCAAGUCGAGCGGUAGAGAGAAGCUUGCUUCUCUUGAGAGCGGCGGACGGGUGAGUAAUGCCUAGGAAUCUGCCUGGUAGUGGGGAUAACGUUCGGAAACGGACGCUAAUACCGCAUACGUCCUACGGGAGAAAGCAGGGGACCUUCGGGCCUUGCGCUAUCAGAUGAGCCUAGGUCGGAUUAGCUAGUUGGUGGGGUAAUGGCUCACCAAGGCGACGAUCCGUAACUGGUCUGAGAGGAUGAUCAGUCACACUGGAAGUGAGACACAGUCUAGACUCAUACGGGAGGCAGCAGUGGGGAAUAUUGGGCAAUUGGCGAUAGCCUGAUCCGGCCAUGCCGCGUGUGUGUAGAAGGUCUUCGGAUUGUAAAGCACUUUAAGUUGGGAGGAAGGGCAGUAAAUUAAUACUUUGCUGUUUUGACGUUACCGACAGAAUAAGCACCGGCUAACUCUGUGCCAGCCGCCGCAGUAA